AAUGAUUCAAGAGUCUCUAUACUAUUAAGACACUGAGUAAUGAUUGGCUGCCUUCCAGGUGGCUCUGCAGUCUGUUAAAUAGCUCAAUUAGUGAGCAGCGCUCUCUCACUCGCUCUCUUGCAUGCACUCUCUCUCUCUCUCAUUGAAUUUUGCCAAGUGCAUGCUGCAUUGUUGGAAGGGGCAGUGCCAAAUUAGCCUAGCAACAUCCCUUUAUAGCCCUAACGUCUGGGACACCUCAGAGCAGCAGAGAAAUCACCGUUCCCCAGGCCUUGCCGGGACUACGAGGCAGCAGAGAGCAUUGUGGCAGGACGGUUUUUCCUUCUGAAGGGUGGUUAAUGAGCAAUGUAGGUGAAGACCCCUGAGAGAUACCUGGGCAUCCUGCCCACCCAAAUAGAAGACCGCGUUGAGAUGGCAGUCGGAGAUGGAGCCCAUGACCAGAGAGAGGGACAGAGGAGAGGAGCGCGGGGACAGUGCCGGACACAAAGUAAAAGCGCUGCCAGUUCAUUUAGGAAGGAAAAUGAGAGAGAGAAAGAAAGCAUAAUCAAAAGCCUACAUGACAAAGAGUUGACAGUCAGAUUCUGUGGUAAAUGAUUCCAGAGUCGCUGGCCUGCGGAGACGCUGAGGAAGUCCCCAGCAGACCUGAUUAAUUCCAGUCUCUCCAGCUGCCAGGGGAGCAGAGGGAAGUCACUAAGGAGCAGCCCUGUCACAACAGCCUCCAAAGGACAGAGAGUGAACCACAGAGGAAAUUCGAAUGCAUGUACAGUGGGUUCCAUUACCAGGGAGCCUGAGCUUGGGACAAGAGGAGCUCAUCACCACCAGAAAAUACUACCAACAUGCCCAAGAGUUUGUUUCCCAUACUUUUAAAGAAAAAGAAAAAUGGAUGGUUCUGAAAUCACCUGGGUUUGUUUUAUUACAUUAUAUCUUCUGGCAAGAUCAGUGAUGGCAGAUGUGAUUCAGCAAUAGAAGCAUGGCUGUACUGGAGGGGACUGACAAGAACGUUUGCAGUCGGUAGUGUUCCUCAGUACUCAUCAAUUUGUGAGCCACAAGAAAUUCUAGCUCUGGAGGCGGAUGGUGGGAGUGAAGCGGACCAGCCGGCCAUUCCCUGUUGCCUACCUGUGGUGGCUCUGCCCAGUCAUCGGUGUCCACUGUUCAGCAUGCAUUCUUUAUGGACAAUCUUAUUCAAGAAAAUAGUUGCAAAAGAGCAAGACAAAAUUCAAAUGAUGUACACUUGAACACUUGCCUACAGAGGUGACAGUUGCCCCAAAAAGUUUGCUGUAAAGUUUGGAGGAGGAAGACACUUCCUGUCUUGAAAUAUAAAUAUGAGUAUCAAAAAUAUCUGAGCGAUUUCGUCAAUAUUUCAGGCAGUUGUUGGAAUGAUUUGUACAUGAAGAGCCUGAAUUCUUUGCUGAACUGGUAAUGGGUAGAUACAGUCUAAUACAUCACUAUUUUUGUAAAAACAGAUUUGAUAGUGCAGCAACCUUCGAGCAUUCUUUAAUCCUGGAACUCCACCAUCCACCCUGAAAACAUUGGAAAAGAAUACACAACAAAAAACACACAACCUAAAACACACAACCUAACAAAAAAACUUCCUAAUGUGUACAAAUGAGAACACUAUCUUCCUUACUGUAGUUUGAUUUCUACCAAAUUCUAAUUUUAAGCCAGCAGACAAACAGGUUGUCCUAUCUAUUCCCUUAGGCUAAGGCUAAAGGGAGAAACAGGCAUCUCAUUUCUAACUCCUGGUACAUUUGGACUUCGGGCCUCUAGAGCACCAAAAAGUUUGAUGGGACCACGCCAAGGGGGUCCCCUGUAACCAGGAGUUGGUUAAUAUCCUCCCAUCCCUCAUUCAGACAGGGAACAGAGGCAAAAAAAAAAAAAAAAUAGCAGGGCAACAAACGCUGCCUUCUGCAAAUGCUCUGUAAUAAAUUGUUCUUUCAGUGGUGCAGAAGACGGAUUUUUCUUUCCUUUGCCUCUUUCCUCCUUUGCGGGGAAGCACCAAUGGGCGGCUUGCUUUCCCACCUGGCCCUGGCUGCCUGUGCCCAUAAAUUUGCCUAUGCAAUGCCUGUUUACGGGUCGCUGAUGGAACAUGGAGACGGUGCAUUUUGUAAGCGCCGGGUAGAUAAUCAUGGUAAUUGAUGUUUGGAGCUGUGAGCUCCUAGGAGCACAGGGUCUCUUUCUCCCAGUGAGGCCCUGCUCUCUGUUAUCAGCCCAGCCCAUAAUUAAAUAUCACUCUUUUACAAUAUGUUUCAGGCUCCUUAAUGAGUCUAAAGCAGAAAUAGUCACCUCUUUCCCCUCGGAGCUUUAUUUGCUUGUUAUUAAACAAUGUUAUUGAGCUGCCUUCUUUCCCUGUGUUGCCAAACCUGCAUCAUUUCCGUUUUAUAAUUGCACAAUUAGAGCGAAGGCUUUGCUUCCAUACAUCAGCAGGCCCUGCGUGUGCCUGCGUGUGUGUCUCCGUGUGGAGAGGAGGAAAGGGAGAGAGCACGGAAAAAUUAGGUGUUCGUAUAGACUACUCAAAUGCGUCUUAUUUUCAUUAACUGCCAGAUUUUGCAAAAUGGGAAGCGAUUUAUCAUGAGCCAUUUUCUUCUAUCAACCACCUCCACCAACCAACACCAUGACUUUCGCGGUGACCUUGUGCUGUGUAGCGGAGGGUCCAAUUUGCUCAUUGUUCCUGGCUUGCAUAAUCCUAUGCCCCUCCCCCACAGCCUUUUUUUCCCCCAAGCAAAAUCCAGUCAUUUAUAUUCCGAGGCUAAACGGUAUUCUUUUUGCCCCCAAAGCUGGCAAGCUGUAUAACACUAGUAAUUCCAUCUAACGAAUUUCCAGGGAGCUCCUCCUCUUACACACGCACUCUCUCUCUCUCUCUCUCUCUCUCACACACACACACACACUCCUCCACGCACACACUCACAUGCACCCCCCUAAGCUGCUCUAAGCAGUGUAUUAAGUAGCUGAAGAAAAUCCAUUCACAUUCUGCUGUGUCGCUUUCUUCUCAAGUCAUGAACCCAUCACAGACUUUUUCUAGCUGUAGGUUGCCACGGUGAAGAUUUACAAUGCCAGUUAUUCAUACAUCUGCCUUCUCUCUUUCCCCCCCCUUAUUCUUAAAUCCCUUGGGCGAGGGCAACCUUGAUACUGAGACUCGUAAAAUUCAUGCAGGCUUAUCAUCCUUGGUGAGGGCUCCAGGCGUGCGCCCGCAUCCCCGCCAGCUCCCCGCCAUGACGCGUGGGUGGGCCUGGGCUGAGGCUUUUCUUUCUAACUCCGAGGAGGGGUUGGGGGAAACAGUGCCAUGGGAAGAAACAGAAUAGAAAACUUCCAUAAAUAUGAAACAAAAGCAGUAUUUGUUUCACUAAGCAUUUAUUAAUUUUUUUUCAAUUACUUUUGGGUCUCUGGAGGCCACUGUUUCUUUGAGGCCGGAAUGUGAAAUAAAACGUGACCUUAGUUUGGGUAAAACAAUAUUAGAAAGUCCACUCCUCAAUGUUCAAGACCUCAUAGAGCAGCAACAUAUACUUCCUUCUCAUGGUAUGUCCAAGAAUCUAUGGGAGGAGGCCUCAAUACCUUUUAAAAUGUGCAGUUGAUGGUUACUGUGUGUUUUUUGCUGUUUUUUUUUCACUUAUUUCUUCUCUUAAUUAUUAGGAAGUUCAUUAUUCUUAAAGAACAUGAAGAGGGAAAAAUAAAUAUUUUCAACAGCAAACAUUAAUAUUUUAAUGAAGUCAUUGAAAUUUUCCCCAGUCUGAAAAUGAGAUUAAUGUUAUGGUAACAUAAUAGAGAACUAUGUUUUAAUCAUAACCAAAAAAAAAAAAAAGACUUUAAACAUAUUGUAAGAAAAUAAUUGAGAUCUUGGCAAGAUAUCAUCUGGAAGACUUUUCUAAAACUCUAUGAAAUUGUUUUUAGGUGGAUUGAAAUACAGUUCUGUUUCAGAAUUGUGGAGGGUUUUUUUUAAUCUUAUUUUUUCAUCCAUUAAUUUCAAUAUUAUAAAAUACGGUUUCCUUGGUAUUCUUGAAUUUCUCACGUUUGCUUGGUGCCACAUGUCCAGGGAGUCGCCGUUGCGGGUUCCCUUCAAGGGGCAAGUGCCCACUGCCAAGAGGCCCCAGAGGCCAGGCAGGCCAUGCUGCAUUAAGCAAACGGUCUGGGCAGCCAGAGGACUGACUUCUUGAGGAAGAAGUCAGGGCAGCCCUGUAUGGCUGGUGGCAAUGCUAAUCCAAGAGCCAUACUCUUAAUGUAGUUGGAGGCUUUGUCAGGUGCCCCACAGACUGCCUUUCAGAUAGUGUUCAACUUUGAGACAGGCUGUGGAUGUCUACCCUUCUUCAAUGAGUAUAAGUAAGUGUCAGGAAAAAGAAAGCCAAGCCCAUGCGGGGGCCCUGACUUCUACUCACCUGUGUGUGAACUGGAGCCUGUGACCUCUUACGCCUCAAUUUCCUCCUCUAAAACCAGGAGAGUGUGCUGUCGUAUCUGUAAGGAUCCUUUCAUGUCUUACAUAAUCCAAUCACAAAUCAAUUAAAUAUAGCCAAUAACUAGUUUAAUCUAAAAUUUCUCUUCUCCCAGCUCAAUACACAGAAGUUUCCCCAGGGUGUAGUUGGAGCAUGAUCCUCAAUUCCCUGUGCGCUGGGCUCUGCCUUAGCUCUUCAGAUCCCUAGGGAACCAUUUAGGAAGUUGCCACAGUGAGCAUCAAGGUGUUCUGUUGGCUGAGAACAUCAAGAAACCCAAGGUUUUGAUCCAACUUCCACAGAAAACUUGGAAAGAAUCACAUGUAGCAUUUGUUGUACUCUCUGAGAUUAUGUUCCUGGAAGCAGGAUAAAAUGAGAGCAACA
Molecule: long non-coding RNA, 4799 nt
Filed under: Homo sapiens (human)
Lineage: Eukaryota; Metazoa; Chordata; Mammalia; Primates; Hominidae
Description: HSALNT0036892
Source: RNAcentral